This 127-nucleotide small nucleolar RNA is filed under the name Sciurus vulgaris (Eurasian red squirrel). RNAcentral's name for it is "Small nucleolar RNA SNORA51 (ENSSVLG00005020316.1)". It matches the Rfam family "Small nucleolar RNA SNORA51". Rfam says of the family: ACA51 is a member of the H/ACA class of snoRNA that guide the sites of modification of uridines to pseudouridines. The record is from Rfam by way of RNAcentral. Lineage: Eukaryota; Metazoa; Chordata; Mammalia; Rodentia; Sciuridae.
GGCCUCUUGGUGCUUACCACAGGCUCUGUUCUUCACAUUGCCUGUAGAGAAAGAGGGAGAAGAAGCUUCAUCCACAUACGACAGCCCAGACACAGGGUCUGGUCUGUAUUGUGAAUGGGGAUCAUGA